Molecule: unclassified non-coding RNA, 313 nt
Filed under: uncultured fungus
Lineage: Eukaryota; Fungi
Description: partial contains 5.8S ribosomal RNA, internal transcribed spacer 2, and large subunit ribosomal RNA
Rfam family: 5.8S ribosomal RNA (bases 1-52)
Source: RNAcentral
AACGCACCUUGCACCCUUUGGUAUUCCGAAGGGUAUGCCUGUUUGAGUGUCAUUAAAUUAUCAACUUCAAAAUUCUUUUUGUGUUUUGAAGCUUGGAAAUGGGAGUUUGCAGGCUGCUUAUGGUAGUGGUCAGCUCUUCUGAAAUGCAUUAGCCUGGGAUAAACUCCUUUGCUUUAUUGGUGUGAUAAUUGUCAUCGCCAAAUUGGCAUUGGUUUUUGAAGCCCUGCUUAGAGUUGUCUUCGGACAGUCUCCUUUGGAGGCUUAAAUUGACGAUUGUGACCUCAAAUCAGGUAGGACUACCCGCUGAACUUAA